RNAcentral lists this ribosomal RNA (449 nucleotides) under uncultured bacterium. RNAcentral describes it as "partial 16S ribosomal RNA". It matches the Rfam family "Bacterial small subunit ribosomal RNA", at positions 354 to 796 of the family's 1533-position model. The record is from RNAcentral.
GUCGAGAAUCUUUCACAAUGGGGGCAACCCUGAUGGAGCGACGCCGCGUGGAGGAUAAGGUCUUCGGAUUGUAAACUCCUGUCAUGCGUGAACAAGGUUGCUUGGUUAAUACCUGGGCAAAUUGAUGGUAACGCAAGAGGAAGAGACGGCUAACUCUGUGCCAGCAGCCGCGGUAAUACAGAGGUCUCAAGCGUUGUUCGGAAUAACUGGGCGUAAAGGGUGCGUAGGUGGCGUGGUAAGUCAGAUGUGAAAGCCCGGGGCUCAACCUCGGAACUGCAUCCGAUACUGCCAUGCUAGAGUACUGGAGAGGUGACUAGAAUUCUCGGUGUAGCAGUGAAAUGCGUAGAUAUCGAGAGGAAUACCAAAGGCGUAGGCAGGUCACUGGACAGUUACUGACACUGAGGCACGAAGGCCAGGGGAGCGAACGGGAUUAGAUACCCUUGUAGUCC